Molecule: ribosomal RNA, 414 nt
Filed under: uncultured bacterium
Lineage: Bacteria
Description: bacterial SSU rRNA
Rfam family: Bacterial small subunit ribosomal RNA
Source: RNAcentral
AAUGAACGCUGGCGGCGCGCCUAAUACAUGCAAGUCGAGCGAGAAGACGUAGCAAUACGUUUGUAAAGCGGCGAACGGGUGAGGAAUACAUGGGUAACCUACCCUCGAGUGGGGAAUAACUAGCCGAAAGGUUAGCUAAUACCGCGUACGCUUCUUGGACUUCGGUUCAGGGAGGAAAGCGAUACCGUGGGUAUCGCGCUCUUGGAUGGGCUCAUGUCCUAUCAGCUUGUUGGGAGGUAACGGCUCACCAAGGCUUCGACGGGUAGCUGGUCUGAGAGGACGAUCAGCCACACUGGCACUGCGACACGGGCCAGACUCCUACGGGAGGCAGCAGUAAGGAAUAUUGCGCAAUGGGGCGAAAGCCUGACGCAGCGACGCCGCGUGGGGGAUGAAGGUCUUCGGAUUGUAAACCCC